Molecule: ribosomal RNA, 726 nt
Filed under: uncultured Bacilli bacterium
Lineage: Bacteria; Bacillati; Bacillota; Bacilli
Description: bacterial SSU rRNA
Rfam family: Bacterial small subunit ribosomal RNA
Source: RNAcentral
GCCUAAUACAUGCAAGUCGAACGCUUCUUUCCUCCCGAGUGCUUGCACUCAACUGGAAAGAGGAGUGGCGGACGGGUGAGUAACACGUGGGUAACCUACCCAUCAGAGGGGGAUAACACUUGGAAACAGGUGCUAAUACCGCAUAACAGUUUAUGCCGCAUGGCAUAAGAGUGAAAGGCGCUUUCGGGUGUCGCUGAUGGAUGGACCCGCGGUGCAUUAGCCAGUUGGUGAGGUAACGGCUCACCAAGGCCACGAUGCAUAGCCGACCUGAGAGGGUGAUCGGCCACACUGGGACUGAGACACGGCCCAGACUCCUACGGGAGGCAGCAGUAGGGAAUCUUCGGCAAUGGACGAAAGUCUGACCGAGCAACGCCGCGUGAGUGAAGAAGGUUUUCGGAUCGUAAAACUCUGUUGUUAGAGAAGAACAAGGACGUUAGUAACUGAACGUCCCCUGACGGUAUCUAACCAGAAAGCCACGGCUAACUACGUGCCAGCAGCCGCGGUAAUACGUAGGUGGCAAGCGUUGUCCGGAUUUAUUGGGCGUAAAGCGAGCGCAGGCGGUUUCUUAAGUCUGAUGUGAAAGCCCCCGGCUCAACCGGGGAGGGUCAUUGGAAACUGGGAGACUUGAGUGCAGAAGAGGAGAGUGGAAUUCCAUGUGUAGCGGUGAAAUGCGUAGAUAUAUGGAGGAACACCAGUGGCGAAGGCGGCUCUCUGGUCUGUAACUGA